CGGCUCAGCCGAGCCCCCUCCCGAACCCAACUGGAUAUGUACACGCAACCACCAACGAAGAGGAGGCCAAAGAGCAGGAGAACCAACUACACACCCCCCUCCUUUCCCACCCGACAGACCCAUUGACCUCACACCCCAGUUUACCCCUACCUAACACAAAACAACGAAAAGGGACAUACAUGUUGGACACGAGAUACACCCAGAGCCGCACUCAACUAGUAGCCCGCACUACUAAAUCCACGGACAAUGAAGCGAAAUUGUUAUGAGAACUACUGUAAACGAU
This is a non-coding RNA of Pelobates cultripes (western spadefoot toad), 283 nucleotides long. The record is from the annotation of a GenBank genome assembly. Lineage: Eukaryota; Metazoa; Chordata; Amphibia; Anura; Pelobatidae.